RNA transcript from Oncorhynchus kisutch (coho salmon), 1124 nucleotides. It is a transcript of the gene named RNA polymerase II, I and III subunit E, b, with no coding region annotated. Lineage: Eukaryota; Metazoa; Chordata; Actinopteri; Salmoniformes; Salmonidae. The record is from RefSeq and is a predicted model, not a curated record. The transcript is spliced from 7 exons.
AUGUGCUAAGACAUAACAUUUAUAUUUGAAGAGGGUAAAAUACAAAUGCAGUUCUAAUGACUGGUUAGAUCAGUCAAAAAUAUGUAAUUCAUUGUUGGGAAAUAUCCGGUGACGUCAUCAUUGCGCGCGCUCCUAAUAACGCGUAACUGCAACGUGAGUUAGCAUUAGCUAGUGAGAAGUACCUUACAUGUAUUGAUAGAUCAUAUACUGCACCGGUAAUUAAUCAAAACAUAUCAUCGAAACGCAAUGGAUGACGAUGAAGAAACAUAUAGGCUAUGGAAAAUUCGGAAAACCAUCAUGCAGCUGUGUCAUGACAGAGGCUACCUGGUGACCCAAGAUGAGUUGGACCAGACCUUGGAUGAGUUUAAAAGUCAGUUUGGGGACAAACCCAGCGAGGGUCGCCCACGACGGACAGAUCUCACUGUCCUGGUAGCACACAAUGAUGACCCCACAGACCAGAUGUUUGUUUUCUUUCCUGAGGAGCCUAAAGUUGGUAUUAAGACCAUCAAGAUGUACUGCCAGCGGAUGCAGGAGGAAAACAUCACACGUGCCUGCAUUGUAGUUCAGAUGGGAAUGACACCUUCAGCUAAGCAGUCUCUAGUUGAUAUGGCCCCCAAAUACAUCCUGGAACAGUUUCUGCAGCAGGAGCUUCUAAUAAACAUCACUGAGCAUGAGCUAGUUCCUGAACACAUAGUCAUGACGAAAGAGGAACUGUCUGAAUUGCUGUUACGAUAUAAACUGAAGGAGAGCCAGCUGCCUAGAAUCCAACAAGGAGAUCCUGUAGCCCGGUACUUUGGAUUGAAAAGAGGCCAGGUACAAGAUCAGUCUCCUCAACCUAAUGUAGUUAACAUUUCUGAAAUAAGUGAUUUACUUGGCUCUCGUUUCUCUUUGCUGUGAUAGGUAGUAAAGAUAAUCAGACCCAGUGAGACUGCUGGACGAUACAUCACCUACAGGCUGGUCCAGUGAGGAUUUCAAUGUAUGUUGCUGUACUAAGGAACAGCGUAUGAGCCAAUAAAACUCAUGGAUUAUGCCACAGCUGGCCUCAUCUCUUUGGAUUAAGUUUAGCUUUUGUUAAUUUGUUCAAUAAAUCCUUUGACCUAUCUUUCCAAAGAUAUGUAUGAUGA